Molecule: ribosomal RNA, 253 nt
Filed under: uncultured bacterium
Lineage: Bacteria
Description: partial 16S ribosomal RNA
Rfam family: Bacterial small subunit ribosomal RNA
Source: RNAcentral
UACGUAGGGGGCAAGCGUUGUCCGGAUUUAUUGGGCGUAAAGAGCGUGUAGGCGGCCAUGCAGGUCAGCUGUGAAAACUCGAGGCUCAACCUCGAGACGUCGGUUGAAACCGCUUGGCUAGAGUCCGGAAGAGGAGAGUGGAAUUCCCGGUGUAGCGGUGAAAUGCGCAGAUAUCGGGAAGAACACCCGUGGCGAAGGCGGCUCUCUGGGACGGUACUGACGCUGAGACGCGAAAGCGUGGGGAGCGAACAGG